RNAcentral lists this ribosomal RNA (311 nucleotides) under uncultured bacterium. Its description in RNAcentral is "bacterial SSU rRNA". It matches the Rfam family "Bacterial small subunit ribosomal RNA", at positions 30 to 334 of the family's 1533-position model. The record is from RNAcentral.
AUUGAACGCUAACGGCAUGCUUAACACAUGCAAGUCGAACGGCAGCACAGCAGUAGCAAUACUGUGGGUGGCGAGUGGCGGACGGGUGAGUAAUACAUCGGAACGUGCCCAGUCGUGGGGGAUAACUACGCGAAAGCGUAGCUAAUACCGCAUACGAACUGAGGUUGAAAGCGGGGGACCGUAAGGCCUCGCGCGAUUGGAGCGGCCGAUGGCAGAUUAGGUAGUUGGUGGGGUAAAGGCCUACCAAGCCGACGAUCUGUAGCUGGUCUGAGAGGACGACCAGCCCACACUGGGACUGAGACACGGCCCAG